This 865-nucleotide ribosomal RNA is filed under the name uncultured bacterium. RNAcentral describes it as "bacterial SSU rRNA". It matches the Rfam family "Bacterial small subunit ribosomal RNA", at positions 74 to 941 of the family's 1533-position model. The record is from RNAcentral.
CAGCUUGCUAGUUGCUGACGAGUGGCGGACGGGUGAGUAAUGCUUGGGAAUUUGCCUUUGGGAGGGGGAUAACCACUGGAAACGGUGGCUAAUACCGCAUAACGUCUACGGACCAAAGGGGGCUUCGGCUCCCACCUGAAGAGAAGCCCAAGUGAGAUUAGCUAGUUGGUGAGGUAAAGGCUCACCAAGGCGACGAUCUCUAGCUGUUCUGAGAGGAAGAUCAGCCACACUGGAACUGAGACACGGUCCAGACUCCUACGGGAGGCAGCAGUGGGGAAUAUUGCACAAUGGGGGAAACCCUGAUGCAGCCAUGCCGCGUGUGUGAAGAAGGCCUUCGGGUUGUAAAGCACUUUCAGUUGUGAGGAAAGGUUAGUAGUUAAUACCUGCUAGCUGUGACGUUAGCAACAGAAGAAGCACCGGCUAACUCCGUGCCAGCAGCCGCGGUAAUACGGAGGGUGCAAGCGUUAAUCGGAAUUACUGGGCGUAAAGCGCACGCAGGCGGCUUGUUAAGCUAGAUGUGAAAGCCCCGGGCUCAACCUGGGAUGGUCAUUUAGAACUGGCAGACUAGAGUUUUGGAGAGGGGAGUGGAAUUCCAGGUGUAGCGGUGAAAUGCGUAGAUAUCUGGAGGAACAUCAGUGGCGAAGGCGACUCUCUGGCCAAAGACUGACGCUCAUGUGCGAAAGUGUGGGUAGCGAACAGGAUUAGAUACCCUGGUAGUCCACACCGUAAACGCUGUCUACUAGCUGUUUGUGAAUUUAAUUCGUGAGUAGCGAAGCUAACGCGCUAAGUAGACCGCCUGGGGAGUACGGCCGCAAGGUUAAAACUCAAAUGAAUUGACGGGGGCCCGCACAAGCGGUGGAGCAUG